This 495-nucleotide ribosomal RNA is filed under the name uncultured bacterium. RNAcentral's name for it is "partial 16S ribosomal RNA". It matches the Rfam family "Bacterial small subunit ribosomal RNA", at positions 28 to 507 of the family's 1533-position model. The record is from RNAcentral.
GACGAACGCUGGCGGCGUGCCUAAUACAUGCAAGUAGAACGCUGAAGGAGGAGCUUGCUUCUCUGGAUGAGUUGCGAACGGGUGAGUAACGCGUAGGUAACCUGCCUGGUAGCGGGGGAUAACUAUUGGAAACGAUAGCUAAUGCCGCAUAAGAGUAGAUGUCGCAUGACAUUUGCUUAAAAGGUGCAAUUGCAUCACUACCAGAUGGACCUGCGUUGUAUUAGCUAGUUGGUGAGGUAACGGCUCACCAAGGCAACGAUACAUAGCCGACCUGAGAGGGUGAUCGGCCACACUGGGACUGAGACACGGCCCAGACUCCUACGGGAGGCAGCAGUAGGGAAUCUUCGGCAAUGGACGGAAGUCUGACCGAGCAACGCCGCGUGAGUGAAGAAGGUUUUCGGAUCGUAAAGCUCUGUUGUAAGAGAAGAACGAGUGUGAGAGUGGAAAGUUCACACUGUGACGGUAUCUUACCAGAAAGGGACGGCUAACUACGUG